RNAcentral lists this ribosomal RNA (253 nucleotides) under uncultured bacterium. RNAcentral's name for it is "partial 16S ribosomal RNA". It matches the Rfam family "Bacterial small subunit ribosomal RNA", at positions 524 to 776 of the family's 1533-position model. The record is from RNAcentral.
UACGUAGGGCGCAAGCGUUGUCCGGAAUUAUUGGGCGUAAAGAGCUCGUAGGCGGCCAGUUGCGUCUGCUGUGAAAUCCCGGGGCUCAACCCCGGGCGUGCAGUGGAUACGGGCUGGCUAGAGGCAGGCAGGGGAGAACGGAAUUCCCGGUGUAGCGGUGAAAUGCGUAGAGAUCGGAAAGAACACCAACGGCGAAAGCACUCUGCUGGGCCGACACUGACACUGAGAGACGAAAGCUAGGGGAGCGAAUGGG